RNAcentral lists this non-coding RNA (272 nucleotides) under Ignavibacteria bacterium. The record is from RNAcentral. Lineage: Bacteria; Pseudomonadati; Ignavibacteriota; Ignavibacteria.
UUCUUUGAACAGAUUUAUGGUGUCCCGAUCCUGACGUAACUCGGGAUAACGGGAAAUAUAGGGAAGUCCGGUGAGAGGAAAAGUCGUUGCGAGUCAUACUGAGCCCGCCAGUUGGCAGGUAAACUUGUCGAAGUAUAGCGAAGCAAUCUAAGUUAAGCUUGCUUCACUUCGUUAGCAAUGACAAUCGUAUAAUCAAUUCCGGCGCUGUCGCGCAACUGUAGUCCCCGCCUUUGGCGGAAAGCCAGGAGACCUGCCAUAAGUCACUUAAUCAA